Pipistrellus kuhlii (Kuhl's pipistrelle) is the source of this 903-nucleotide long non-coding RNA. RefSeq lists it as uncharacterized. The record is from RefSeq and is a predicted model, not a curated record. Lineage: Eukaryota; Metazoa; Chordata; Mammalia; Chiroptera; Vespertilionidae. The transcript has 3 exons.
CCCGUGAAGGGACGAGCCUCCACACCGGCAUCCAAUUGGGUUUUUUAUGAGGAGACCACAGAAUUUAAGUGACCUUAGGAGACCCGGGACCUGCAUUGUGUCGCCAGCAUCUAAAGCCGAGUCUAGCUUUUUGUAGUUACUUGCACGAUAAAACAGUUGGGCAGUAGAUGAAUGCAGGAGAGAGAAAAAAGUUACUUGGACGGACCUCUGGGAUGCCGGAACACAAUGCCAUCUGAGAAGGCUCCUGGAGAAAAUGAUGUUUAAGGAAAAUGCCUGCAGGAGUUAUCUCUAACUAAUGCUUUCUGCCUCCCUAGUAAAGUGCUGGUGCAACCCUCAUUGGUGAGCCAGGAAGAGCGAAGUGAUGCUAAACAACUCCAGAUGGUUUCUCGGGAGCCCCGUGCUGAUGGCAAGCCACUGCUCUUGUGUCUCGUGCCCACCUGGAAGCCAGCCCUGAGAGGGAAGUGUCUGUGUGGGCUGCUAACCACAGGAAGCCUACGGAGAGGCUGACUCAUCAAAACAUCCCCUGGGCAAGAAGCCUCCUGGACCCCCUCAGCGCUGAGCAUAAAAUUAUACUAAGUGGGACCAUCAGCCCGGAAGAGAAUCCAAUCAACACGCUGUGUUCCACGUGGAUGCUCUUGACAAGGGACAAUAAAAGCAUGGUAGCAUUUCUACAGCACUUACUACACGCAAAUUACUUGGCCCCUGGCCCUGGCAGAGCUUCUCAGCCACAACCUAACACUUCCACUGCUUGGAGUCUAUCAUCUAGGCCAGUGAGCAGGGACCUAGGCAAGUAAGAUGUGAGCACACAUCUAUGAAUAAAACUGAGUGACUCAUAAAUCUCUGGAAAUCAGAAUUAUGAGGCCAUCGGGUGACUUGUCCUUUUUCCCAGAAAUCUCAUAGUAU